This 598-nucleotide small RNA is filed under the name Histoplasma ohiense. Its description in RNAcentral is "hypothetical lncRNA". Lineage: Eukaryota; Fungi; Ascomycota; Eurotiomycetes; Onygenales; Ajellomycetaceae. The record is from RNAcentral.
AAUCUAUCGCCGCUGCUAAGCUAUCCCUCGCUGCUAAGCUAUCCCUCGCUGCUAAGCUAUCCCUCGCUGCUAAGCUAUCGCUGCCAACCUAUCUAUUGCUGCAAGCUAUCCCUUACUGCUAAGCUAUCGCUGCCAACCUAUCUAUUGCUGCAAGCUAUCCCUCGCUGCUAAGCUAUCGCUGCCAACCUAUCUAUCGCUGCCAACCUAUCUAUCGCUGCCAAUUUAUCUACCACUGCCAAUCUAUCUAUCGCUGCUAAUCUAUCGCUGCUGUCAAUCUAUCUAUCGCUGCUAAUCUAUGUAUCGCUGCUAAUCUAUCGCUGCUGCCAAUCUAUCCCUCACUGCUAAGCUAUCCCUCGCUGCUAAGCUAUCACAGCCAAUCUACCGCGGCGAAUCUAUCUAUCACUAUCAUUACUAGUUCAAAAUAGAACUAGAGCAUAAAUACACUAAACUUCUUUUGAUAGGUAAUGAUUUUUGGUAACACUCAUAGCAUUAUAUCAUCUAUAUAGGGUAAAUCAUGGUCCCAUUUGGUCCCAUUUUAACAAAAUGGGACCAAAUGGGACCAGAAUCAGUAAUUUAUAAGAAGAACAUGACCUGGGAC